UGGGGAAUAUUGGACAAUGGGCGCAAGCCUGAUCCAGCCAUGCCGCGUGAGCGACGAAGGCCUUAGGGUUGUAAAGCUCUUUCGGCGGGGAAGAUAAUGACGGUACCCGCAGAAGAAGCCCCGGCUAACUCUGUGCCAGCAGCCGCGGUAAUACAGAGGGGGCAAGCGUUGUUCGGAAUCACUGGGCGUAAAGCGCACGUAGGUGGAUAGUUAAGUUCGGGGUGAAAUCCCAGGGCUCAACCCUGGAACUGCCUCGGAUACUGGCUAUCUCGAGUCCGGAAGAGGUGAGUGGAAUUCCUAGUGUAGAGGUGAAAUUCGUAGAUAUUAGGAAGAACACCGGUGGCGAAGGCGGCUCACUGGUCCGGUACUGACACUGAGGUGCGAAAGCGUGGGGAGCAAACAGGAUUAGAUACCCAGGUAGUCCCUGAGCGGGCUGGCAAGGCGCAU
RNAcentral lists this ribosomal RNA (447 nucleotides) under uncultured bacterium. RNAcentral's name for it is "bacterial SSU rRNA". It matches the Rfam family "Bacterial small subunit ribosomal RNA", at positions 355 to 825 of the family's 1533-position model. The record is from RNAcentral.